Molecule: non-coding RNA, 72 nt
Organism: Phrynosoma platyrhinos (Desert horned lizard)
Lineage: Eukaryota; Metazoa; Chordata; Lepidosauria; Squamata; Phrynosomatidae
Source: the annotation of a GenBank genome assembly
GCCAGCAUGGUAUAGUGGGUUGAACAUUGGACUAUGACUCUGGAAACCAGGGUUCAAAUCCCGGUUUGGGCA